This 253-nucleotide ribosomal RNA is filed under the name uncultured bacterium. RNAcentral's name for it is "partial 16S ribosomal RNA". It matches the Rfam family "Bacterial small subunit ribosomal RNA", at positions 524 to 776 of the family's 1533-position model. RNAcentral also lists the same sequence under 1 other name. The record is from RNAcentral.
UACGUAGGGGGCGAGCGUUGUCCGAAUUUACUGGGCGUAAAGAGCGUGUAGGCGGGUUGUUAAGUGAGCGGUGAAAGGUUCGGGCUCAACCCGAACAGUGCCUUUCAUACUGGCGACCUUGAGUGUGGGAGAGGCGAGUGGAAUUUCUGGUGUAGCGGUGAAAUGCGUAGAUAUCAGAAGGAACACCCAUGGCGAAGGCAGCUCGCUGGCCUACAACUGACGCUGAGACGCGAAAGCGUGGGGAGCAAACAGG